CCUACGUGAGGCAGCAGUGAGGAAUAUUGGUCAAUGGACGAGAGUCUGAACCAGCCAAGUAGCGUGAAGGAUGACUGCCCUAUGGGUUGUAAACUUCUUUUAUAUGGGAAUAAAAUGUUCCCCGGGUGGGAUUUUGUAUGUACCUUAUGAAUAAGGAUCGGCUAACUCCGUGCCAGCAGCCGAGGUAAUCCGGAGGAUCCGAGCGUUAUCCGGAUUGGUUGGGUUUAAAGGGAGCGUAGGUGGAUUGUUAAGUCAGUUGUGAAAGUUUGCGGCUCAACCGUAAAAUUGCAGUUGAAACUGGCAGUCUUGAGUACAGUAGAGGUGGGCGGAAUUCGUGGUGUAGCGGUGAAAUGCUUAGAUAUCACGAAGAACUCCGAUUGCGAAGGCAGCUCACUGGACUGCGACUGACACUGAGGCUCGAAAGUGUGGGUAUCAAACAGGAUUAGAUACCCGAGUAGUC
This 460-nucleotide ribosomal RNA is filed under the name uncultured bacterium. RNAcentral describes it as "partial 16S ribosomal RNA". It matches the Rfam family "Bacterial small subunit ribosomal RNA", at positions 338 to 795 of the family's 1533-position model. The record is from RNAcentral.